Molecule: long non-coding RNA, 633 nt
Organism: Onychostoma macrolepis
Lineage: Eukaryota; Metazoa; Chordata; Actinopteri; Cypriniformes; Cyprinidae
Exons: 5
Source: RefSeq, a predicted model, not a curated record
UGUGUGUGUGUCAUCAAAUUAAGGACAAAACAAAAACCAAAUAGCUUGCUUAGCAAAUGGUGAUCAUUGUUAAUUACAUGUUUGUGAAUGACUGAGAAUGAGAUUUAUUGAAAGAGGGCACGGGACAAAUUAACAUUUAAACAAGCAGCGCGCGGCGCGUCACUGUCUGAGUACUGCGCGAGAGUGCGCGUGCCCGUCAUUAACGGUCAACUUCCAGCAGACAGACACGGAGGAAAAGGUCCUGACUACCACCAGUUGAGUCAAUGAUUCAGUCAUCCUGACCAUUCUGUUGUCCUGGAUUUGAAGACAUGCUGGAACUGUAUUUCUCAUGGUUGAAAGAUUUGUGCAGCGGUAUCCAGACAUAUAAGCACCCUUCCUGGACCCACACGACUACAGGCUCUGGAGGAGAGGCAGAUUCAAGGGAAAGAUGAAAAAUAAGGAAGUCUGGGAACGACUGAAGAAGACCGCAGCGAGGGAAGGAAGUAAUCAGCACAAUCUGCCAGAGAAGGAUAUUGACAGUGCAGGCUCUGGACGGCGAAGAGGAGGAAGAACACCUUUAACAUAAUUUUCUCAUACCUUUGCCAUGUGUUAUAAUAAGAACAACUAGAUUAAAAAGUUCGUCGAGACAAACUU